GUGAUUCUCCUCUUCAGCUCCUGAGGUAGCUGGGAUUACAGGUUCAGGAAGACUCAGCUUUUCCAGCAGAAAGGACAAUGAUGCCUCAACAGAGCCGAUGACUCUCGAUGGCCAUGCCACUUAACAAAGCGUGGCCACCCACACGUUCACCUGCAGCCUGAGGAGAGGAACAGCUGCAACACCUGCCAGGGGCUGAGGGGAUGAAGCCCCAGAGGCUGAUCAGAUAUCCUCCUCUGGAAGUGGAGCCACAUGGCCAAUCCACCACCGGACGCAGAUGCAACCUGCCUCUGAGGGGAAGAGGGCCCAGACAUAGGAUGCUGAUAUUGAGAAGAAUGCUGGAAUGAACAUGGCAGUGAAGAUAUCUCUAUGAGUGCUGAUUUCCUUUCCUUUGGAUGCAGACCCAGAGGAGGAAUUGCUGCAUCUUAUGGUACUUCUAACUUUAAUUUCUUUAGGAACCUCCACUUACUGGUGUCAGGUGAUAACUCAUAAUGGUUUUGAUUUGCAUUUCCCUGAUGAUUAGUGACAUUGAGCAUCUUUUCAUUAACCUGUGA
Molecule: long non-coding RNA, 551 nt
Organism: Cercocebus atys (sooty mangabey)
Lineage: Eukaryota; Metazoa; Chordata; Mammalia; Primates; Cercopithecidae
Exons: 4
Source: RefSeq, a predicted model, not a curated record